GGUUGACCUCGGAUCAGGUAGGGAUACCCGCUGAACUAAGCUUAAAACGGGGAGAG
This 56-nucleotide ribosomal RNA is filed under the name Hysterobrevium mori. RNAcentral describes it as "partial 28S ribosomal RNA". The record is from RNAcentral. Lineage: Eukaryota; Fungi; Ascomycota; Dothideomycetes; Hysteriales; Hysteriaceae.